This 491-nucleotide ribosomal RNA is filed under the name uncultured bacterium. RNAcentral's name for it is "partial 16S ribosomal RNA". It matches the Rfam family "Bacterial small subunit ribosomal RNA", at positions 29 to 506 of the family's 1533-position model. The record is from RNAcentral.
AGUGAACGCUGGCGGUAGGCCUAACACAUGCAAGUCGAACGGCAGCACAGUAAGAGCUUGCUCUUACGGGUGGCGAGUGGCGGACGGGUGAGGAAUACAUCGGAAUCUACUUUUUCGUGGGGGAUAACGUAGGGAAACUUACGCUAAUACCGCAUACGACCUACGGGUGAAAGCAGGGGAUCUUCGGACCUUGCGCGAUUGAAUGAGCCGAUGUCGGAUUAGCUAGUUGGCGGGGUAAAGGCCCACCAAGGCGACGAUCCGUAGCUGGUCUGAGAGGAUGAUCAGCCACACUGGAACUGAGACAGGGUCCAGGCCCCUACGGGGGGCAGCAGGGGGGAAUAUUGGACAAGGGGCGCAAGCCUGAUCCAGCCAUACCGCGGGGGUGAAGAAGGCCUUCGGGUUGUAAAGCCCUUUUGUUGGGAAAGAAAAGCAGCAGGUUAAUACCCCGCUGUUCUGACGGUACCCAAAAAAUAAGCACCGGCUAACUUCGU